UGCGCAGGUGGUUUCGUAAGUCAGAUGUGAAAUCCCCGGGCUUAACCUGGGAAUGGCAUUUGAGACUGCGAAGCUAGAGUACGGCAGAGGGAGGUGGAAUUCCACGUGUAGCAGUGAAAUGCGUAGAUAUGUGGAGGAACACCGAUGGCGAAGGCAGCCUCCUGGGCCAGUACUGACGCUCAUGCACGAAAGCGUGGGAGCAAACAGGAUUAGAUACCCUGGUAGUCCACGCCCUAAACGAUGUCAACUAGUUGUUGGGAAAGGUGACUUUCUUGGUAACGCAGCUAACGCGUGAAGUUGACCGCCUGGGGAGUACGGUCGCAAGAUUAAA
RNAcentral lists this ribosomal RNA (331 nucleotides) under uncultured bacterium. RNAcentral's name for it is "bacterial SSU rRNA". It matches the Rfam family "Bacterial small subunit ribosomal RNA", at positions 568 to 898 of the family's 1533-position model. The record is from RNAcentral.